This 253-nucleotide ribosomal RNA is filed under the name uncultured bacterium. Its description in RNAcentral is "partial 16S ribosomal RNA". It matches the Rfam family "Bacterial small subunit ribosomal RNA", at positions 524 to 776 of the family's 1533-position model. The record is from RNAcentral.
UACGAAGGGGGCUAGCGUUGCUCGGAAUCACUGGGCGUAAAGGGUGCGUAGGCGGAUUGUUAAGUCAGGGGUGAAAUCCUGGAGCUCAACUCCAGAACUGCCUUUGAUACUGGCGAUCUCGAGUCCGGGAGAGGUGAGUGGAACUGCGAGUGUAGAGGUGAAAUUCGUAGAUAUUCGCAAGAACACCAGUGGCGAAGGCGGCUCACUGGCCCGGUACUGACGCUGAGGUGCGAAAGCGUGGGGAGCAAACAGG